GGGACCAGCUUAGAAGUCUUUUUAACAUUCACUGUGUCAACUCAGCACCAAGCUGGCUUCCCCUGGUUGCUCAUAGGCAGGUGGCCGUCCACACCCACUUCUGUGUGGGGGCCUCUGGUGUCACACUUCACACUCCUGUUUUGUAGGCAUCAGGUUUCAGAUUUGCUGUUUGCUUCCGCUGCCACUACCGGUAGAUCAGAGGCUGGGGAGGUGUUUCAACACAUGACUGUUUUGAACAUGGUGACUUCCCCAUCUGUCCCUGCCAUGCCAUGGGUAGCAUCCCAGCAGCCUCUCGACAGCAGAACAGAGGCCACUGAGCCUGGCCAAUGACCUUGCUGCUGGGGCUACCUUUCACCUACAUGUAGGCUUACUCGCCUCCACCCCCAGCACGGCCCAAGAACCAAUUCUCUGAGUUCAGCCAGGACUUCCAAGAACCUAGCACAGCCAGUCCCUUCUCCCACAGAGUACUGUGAACAUCCCCAAGACAGAAAUGAUGUGUUGCUCACCACAGCCUGGGCCCUGCAGCUGGCCUGUCACAGGGCUGGCGACGACCGAAUGAAAGGAAAUGUCUAAUGUUUUCUGAGCACUUGCUACAUGCCGGGCACAGAGCCAGGGAUGCCCGCAUGGAGAGGGCCUGCCUCACAGUGAAGACAGUAGGGAGGAAAGCAGAGGUUCGGAUUUUCUGUCACCUGCAACUAAGAGAGCCCUCACUGACCGACUGAAGCUCAGAGAUGGCACCCAACACACCCCAGGUCACAUUAGCUACGAAAGCAGCAGAACAGAAACUCCCACCAAAGUCUGGGCUUUUUUUGUUUUGUUUUGUUUGUUUGUUUUUUUGAGAUAGUCUUGCUCUGUCUCCAAGGCUGGAGUGCAGUGGCAUGACCUAGGCUCACUGCAACCUCCGCCUCCCAGGUUCAAGCAAUUCUCCGCCUCAGCCCCUCCAGUAGCUGGGAUUACAGGCGCCUGCCACCACGCCUGGCUAAUUUUUGUAUUUUUAGUAGAGACGGGGUUUCACCAUGUUGGCCAGGCCAGUCUCGAUCUCCUGACCUCAAGUGAUCUGCCUGCCCUGGCUUCCCAAGGUCUGGGCUGUUAACCACAGCCUGACCACACCCCAGGCCCAGCUAAUAACCACUGAUAACCACUCGAUGCUCCCAUACACGGAGUACAGUCCAGAUAUCCACUCUGCCGGCGGGGUCCUCUCACCUCUUUCCCAGAAGCCACUGGAGUUACACUGGUUGGGAUUUCUGGGCAUUGGUUUGCAAGUCCCUCAGAUGGGGCUAAUGAGCUCACCCUUGCAAGCAGGUCAGAGGACAGCUCACACUGGCCUGGCCCACAAGGGACUCAGGGAGUGAAGGCCACAGUGUGGACCCUCCAACCUUCCCUCAGCUGCCUGAUGGCCUGCAGGUGUUUUCUAAUAGCUGACAUGUGUCCAUUAAAAUAAAAUACAACCAGCCGGCCGCGGUGGCUCACGCCUGUAAUCCCAGCAUUUUGGGAGGCCGAGGUGGGUGGAUCAUGAG
Piliocolobus tephrosceles (Ugandan red Colobus) is the source of this 1517-nucleotide long non-coding RNA. RefSeq lists it as uncharacterized. The transcript has 4 exons. The record is from RefSeq and is a predicted model, not a curated record. NCBI's taxonomy places the organism in Eukaryota, Metazoa, Chordata, Mammalia, Primates, Cercopithecidae.